GAUUUAUGGUAGCUAAAGCAUGGUUUUGGCAGAAGGUUGGCCAUUAGAAGCCUAUCAUGACUCAAAUUGAACGCCGGUCCGUUCGUAUUUGGAAGCCCCAGCAUUGCUCGGCCGGGCCGGAUUGCUAAAACUGCCUGUCUGGUUUCGCUAGCUCGGUGGCGUUCGUGAUUGAAGGAUUUCACAAAUCCAUCGGGCGUUGGAUCGAAGGUCAAGUUUUUUUUAAGCUUGUCCUGAUGAAGUCUAUCCUUCUCGAGGAAUGGACGAGCUGGCAUUCGAAGGAGAUUGAAGCAUAGCGAGUGAGUUCACUGUUCAAUGGAUGUUCUUUAUUACAAUUAUUUUUCCAACCUAUAUUGCGGAGACAUUGUCGUGAUUUUACAAAUGGAGAAAAAAGGGAGAGCUCUUUCGCAAAGAAAACCCAUUUUUGUAACAUUUUCCACACAUGUUAUUCUCUCCACCAAGGGAAGGAGAAAGCAAUAAAUGUGACAUCAGUAAAAAAGCCAUCGUAUCCCUCGCAUCCAUAUCGAAAAAAAAAAAAUGAAAAGAAAGUAAAGUAAAAAAAAAAAACCCCUUUGACCUAUUUUAGGAUCACUUCCCCAUGAUCCAUUCAUCAUACAACGACACGUCUGCUCCGAACCAAAGCCAAAGUCAAACCGAACCAACCCCUCAGGUCCCGCCAUUCCCGAAAUUGAUAUAAAUUUAAGAGAUGUCUGGGUGCGUUUGAGUAAACAGAAGGAAGAAGAAUUCCAGCCAUUCGUCCAUCCACCUGCUUCCGUAAAGUACACGAUAGUUUCAAAGUACAACCAACGAAUGGCAUGAGACGAGGAAAAAAUAAAAGAAAAAGAAAAGCCAAUGGGUAUGGGAGAAGGGUAAUAUGCAAGAUAACUCGGAUUUUGUUGUUUGAAAACACAUUAUGGGAUUAAAACGAGUGGAUUACCUCAUAUACGAAAACCAUCCUCUUUUUGAAGAUGUAACUUUUUUGUCAUAGCACGUAACACGAUGUAGCGACACCCGGAACGCCAGCGACGAUGGUGUAUAGGGGUCAUUUGGCAAAAGCACACCGUGUUAAACAAACGAAAUGUUAGACAUUUCAUGUGGAUUUGGCAAAGAGAUUGAUGAUCGAGUUGGUGUUUCGAAGAUUGGCAUUUAUCUUGUAGAAUUUUACCCAACAGCGACCCCUUUGGUGUUCUGGAAUAAGGUGUAUAGGUACAUUACGCAUGUUGUAUUCUUGUGGCCCAGGUCAGGUGUAGGG
RNAcentral lists this small RNA (1249 nucleotides) under Histoplasma capsulatum var. duboisii H88. RNAcentral describes it as "Histoplasma capsulatum H88 hypothetical RNA". The record is from RNAcentral. Lineage: Eukaryota; Fungi; Ascomycota; Eurotiomycetes; Onygenales; Ajellomycetaceae.